Molecule: ribosomal RNA, 1485 nt
Filed under: Triticum aestivum (bread wheat)
Lineage: Eukaryota; Viridiplantae; Streptophyta; Magnoliopsida; Poales; Poaceae
Description: partial small subunit ribosomal RNA
Source: RNAcentral
GUGUAUAGGUGGGUAGAGAGACGGAGGUAGAAGGAAAAGGACGCUGUAAACUGGUGGUGGGUCGCGGUGCAGAGGUGGCCGUCGGCUGCACGUGGUGGUCUGAAGGAGGGCCUGGAGGCGGUAUCAGGGUCAGACCGGAGCGCGCGUGUCCGGCCGGCGGUCGGUCCUCGGGUAUGUCUCGGUCGGCGCGACGUUGUUGCGGCGGCGGGCAUGCGGCGGAGGGUGUGGUUGGUGCGGGCUCGUUCCUCGAGGGGAGCUGGGGCCGGGGACGUCGAGGAGGAGCCGAGGGGCAGGCCGUUGGCCGCGGCAGUGGCCGAUCGGGGACGUUGAGCUCGGCCUCGUAGUGUGGGCGCGGUACUUAGAGGUUGGGACUACGGGUUCGAGGGCGGCGACAAGACACCUGGCUCAAUAAGCGAGUUCCCUUUGGUAGACUUUUUCUGUUGUUCUCUCUCUGCGGUUACUUGUUCAACUAAGAUAGUACGGUAACCCUCUCCGCGGGUUCCUUUUCCAUCACACGUACGAUCAGAAGAGUACCACAUGGCCAAACACCCUCUCGAUUCUCAAGCACGACCCCGUGACGAAUGGAACAUGAUGGAUGCUACACUUAUGUCACGUUGCACUAUAACUAUAGCUUUAUCUCGCUUGUACCACCAGGUGGCUCAUAACCGCACACAGUGAGGUACGGCGGCUCAUAACCGCGCACAGUGAGAUACACGUGGCAGUGUAACCAGAUGAGUACUAAUACGUCCAGAGCCUCCCUUUCAUACUGUGUUGAGGGCUCUUUGGGCGGGCACACAACGUUGCCCGUAUAAGCUCACUAAGUUGUAGUACCAAACAUUGUAUAUCGGAACAGCUGAAAGAACAUGGCAAUAUCGGAAUUAAAGGAACAGGAGGAGGAAAGGUGAGCGUUAGGGUGGAACUCAGGAGCUGGACGUGAAGGUUUGUGCACCGGUAACGUUAAACCAAUAUAAAGUGUGGAGGGGGGAGAGGGGGGAGGUCAUUUGUAUAGAAGAUAAACGUGGUAGCGAUCAGAAAACAAGAUUAGACCUAGAAAGUUUUAUUCAGAAAACCAGACCUUAAUUGUAACAUCUCGUCUUAUGGUUUAAUUAAAUCCACUUGUCUACGUUGUGUAAGUUAUAAUAAGCUUACACUACACAAUAAACGAGUAGGUGAGGAUAUCCGAAGAAGGUUUUAUAUACACGUAAAAAAGUCAAUCCAAACUUUACUGCUGUGAAGAUAAGUACAUAAUAUUGUACAUGAAAAAUAAGUCUUUUACACGAUAGAAUCAUCAAACAUGAUGAAUGUAGAUCAUAACUGUGAACUUGUGGAGUAGGGAUGGUUUAUUGUACGUCCUUUUAAUCACAUGGCAUUUAAUUCCCCAAACAUCUUAAAAAAACAGUUGUUAGUCUAAAGGACAAAUUUAUCUUUUCGUUAAGAGUGCAUUUUAAUGUUAACGAAAUGUAUACAUCGUAAGUAGUGAGAAAA